GACGAACGCUGGCGGCGUGCCUAAUACAUGCAAGUCGAGCGAAGUUUUUCUGGUGCUUGCACUAGAAAAACUUAGCGGCGAACGGGUGAGUAACACGUAAAGAACCUGCCUCAUAGACUGGGACAACUAUUGGAAACGAUAGCUAAUACCGGAUAACAGUAUUUCUCGCAUGGGAGAUAUUUAAAAGUUGGUUAUGCUAACACUAUGAGAUGGCUUUGCGGUGCAUUAGCUAGUUGGUGGGGUAAAGGCCCACCAAGGCGACGAUGCAUAGCCGACCUGAGAGGGUGAUCGGCCACACUGGGACUGAGACACGGCCCAGGCUCCUACGGGAGGCAGCAGUAGGGAAUCUUCCGCAAUGGGCGAAAGCCUGACGGAGCAACGCCGCGUGAGUGAAGAAGGAUUUCGGUUCGUAAAGCUCUGUUGUUAGGGAAGAAUGGAUAUGUAGUAACUAUACAUGUAAGAGACGGUACCUAACCAGAAAGCCACGGCUAACUACGUG
Molecule: ribosomal RNA, 499 nt
Filed under: uncultured bacterium
Lineage: Bacteria
Description: partial 16S ribosomal RNA
Rfam family: Bacterial small subunit ribosomal RNA
Source: RNAcentral